Long non-coding RNA from Cavia porcellus (domestic guinea pig), 2404 nucleotides. RefSeq lists it as uncharacterized. Lineage: Eukaryota; Metazoa; Chordata; Mammalia; Rodentia; Caviidae. The record is from RefSeq and is a predicted model, not a curated record. The transcript is spliced from 10 exons.
AGCUCGCUUAGCCAGGAACAGCUGCCAUGCAGUGUUACUGCCAUCACAGGCCCCACCAGUGGUGUCUCCUGGGCUGGUUGAACCUCAAAAACUGUGAGCUAAAUAAAUAUUUUUUUCUUUAAAAAAAAAAGCUACAUUGGUAUCAACCCAGAUAAAGAUGGCGUGGAUUCUAUCUGCAAGAUGUUUGUAAGUUAAAAUAUAUGGCACCAUGAGACUUCUGGUUCUUCCCCAAAGUCAAAAUGGCCCUGAAAGUUAAUACCACACCGAGGUAUAUUUGAAAGCUGAAUGGAAGAAGAGAAAGAAAUCACUGCCUCUGCUAUUUCAGAUUACAAAAUUAAGCCUGCCAGCUAUCAAGUUUUAAGGAGAGCUCCUGUCAUGUAAGCUUUAUUCAGGCCACCAAGCCUAGUUAAGAAAAUUUGUUAAUUGACUUGGUUGACAGCCUAAGUCAUGUCUUCAGUUUCCGCUUUUAAUUUUGACUUAUCCACCCAUAAGAAUGCCAAAAGCUGUUAUUUCUGCAAGUGCCACAGUGGCACUAACCAGCAGACGGUGUCCAACUGAGCAGACAGACAAGGUGCUAAUUCUUCUUCAUUCAACUCCUGAUGGCUGGACAGCGUGUGUUAAAGAUCUCGCACAAACAGUUGAGGUGUGCAUAGAAACUGCGAACAACUGCAGAUUCCUGGAGAACUGUUAAAGUCAAAAAAGCAAAGCAAGAAAUCAACUCAUGUGAUUCUAAAUUGAGUAGAAGAUUGCUUCUUCUCGCACCCCCUCCUGCCACACACAGAAGUAUGGAUACAAAAAGGAGAGAAGUAGAAAAUAGAAGAUAAAACUUUGGAUUGUCCGAAAGUAGAUCCUCGUACCUGGUGAUUCUCAGAGGUGAAAACAUGUUCCCACAGAGAUAAAUACAAUUCCGCUGAAGAUCUUUUGGAUUACAAGCUGUCUGCAGCAGGCUCCCAGCUUCUCUGCCCAAGAUUUUCACUUAUCCUCCUGGUAUGUGAGUUGAUGAACUUGAUCUCCAGCUGAAGAUGUGAAAUACAAGGGGAAGCAGCUCACUUCCGGUGACAGGGCUGGCCUCGCCUCAUCACUCUGCCCCAGGACUAGGAGUUGAAUGGGACAGCACUGCAUUGCAGGACGGAUAGAGGUGUUGCUGUUGCCCUGGAGACAGCCCAAGGCUGCUUGGUCUCCCUUCAAUUUCCUCUCCUGCAGAGUUUCCCUAUGCAGUUCAGACUGGCCUGGAACUCACAAAGCUCCUCCUGCCAUAGCCUCCUGAGUGGGGGGAUUAUGGGUCAUUUGGUCGUCCUCAUGGAAAAAAUGAAGUAUGCUCUGCUGAAGACACAGUCCACAGAGAUGCGCCAGUCUGAAGACUAUUCUUUUCAUCUGUCUGAAGUGUUAAGACACCAAAACAAAGCAGUGUGUUCCGUGCGACUCCUGCUUUGCCCACCCGUCUGCGGAAGCUCAGACGUGGGGCGGAAUGCAGGAAGAGGAGAGCCAGUCUAAUAAAAAUCGAAUGCAGCAUACCAACCCAUCAGCAUCCUUCACUGAAAGAUGGAAGACGUAGUUCUGGCCUGCUUCCUUGCAUAUUUUUGAAGCACAUAUUGACAGCCCAGGCUCAGAAGCAGAGCCGCUGUAUUUAAGACAGGGAGCUACAUAGUCCUGGGUCACUGGAGAGGGAGAAUCCCCAUAGGGACCAAAGGUCUCUAAGACAGUAUGAUGCCGAGGGUGUGCGUGUAAAGAAGAAUAUAAAUUCUUCCAACGGGUUCAAGUACCAGUUAAUAGUUUUGUUUAGUUUAAUAAGUAAUUAUUGUUGGGUGAAGUUCUACUAACUUUAGUGAAAGUAUCAGUCACAGUCAUGUUUGUUAUACCUUAAGCAUUGAGCUCAGUACUUUCCAGGGAUAAUUAGAUUAAAAUUUCAAACUAACUCUAUGGUGUAGGAAUGGAAAGAGAGGUCAGUGAACGUCAUGUGACUUGUGCUGCGAUUUGAACCCAGGUGGUAUAUAACUCACGGGCCACCCUGUAAUCAUCAUAUCUAACCCCUGGACUAUCUCCUGGCGGCCUGAAGCAACCACCUCCAAACUUUUGUGAUAUUGUGGUGAUGGAUUUCUUUUCUUUUAACCCACCCUGACUUCCCCUAAAGGGCUCUGUAUGGUAUAAAGAAAUUAAAGGAAAAACUUGAACCAAUUAAAUGUGUUUUUUCCCAUUUAUUUUUAGCAUUUUGCAACGCCCCUGGAGAUAUUUGGAGACACCCAGCUGAGUUCUGAAGCAGAUAGGAGUGCACUGGCCCGUGACCUUCACUGAAUGAAUUUCCUGAGCACUUAUGAUGGCUAGGUUUUCCACUUUAAAUAUUUUGAAAGAUCUCGAGGCCCCAAAACAGAAAGAGAGAAGGGGAGCGAGCCAGCUAGCGAGCUGG